This 255-nucleotide ribosomal RNA is filed under the name uncultured bacterium. RNAcentral's name for it is "partial 16S ribosomal RNA". It matches the Rfam family "Bacterial small subunit ribosomal RNA", at positions 524 to 777 of the family's 1533-position model. The record is from RNAcentral.
UACGUAGGGUGCGAGCGUUAAUCGGAAUUACUGGGCGUAAAGCGUGCGCAGGCGGCGCGUUAAGACAGGUGUGAAAGCCCCGAGCUUAACUUGGGAAUUGCGCUUGUGACUGGCGUGCUGGAGUGUGGCAGAGGGAGGUGGAAUUCCACGUGUAGCAGUGAAAUGCGUAGAGAUGUGGAGGAACACCGAUGGCGAAGGCAGCCUCCUGGGCCAGCACUGACGCUCAUGCACGAAAGCGUGGGGGAGCAAACAGGG